RNAcentral lists this ribosomal RNA (313 nucleotides) under uncultured bacterium. Its description in RNAcentral is "bacterial SSU rRNA". It matches the Rfam family "Bacterial small subunit ribosomal RNA", at positions 28 to 334 of the family's 1533-position model. The record is from RNAcentral.
GAUGAACGCUAGCUACAGGCUUAACACAUGCAAGUCGAGGGGCAGCAUUUUUAUAGCAAUAUAAAAGAUGGCGACCGGCGCACGGGUGAGUAACACGUAUCCAACCUGCCGAUAACUCGGGGAUAACCCUUCGAAAGAAGGCCUAAUACCCGAUGGUAUCUUAAGCACGCAUGAGAUUAAGAUUAAAGAUUUAUCGGUAAGCGAUGGGGAUGCGUUCCAUUAGGCAGUUGGCGGGGUAACGGCCCACCAAACCUACGAUGGAUAGGGGUUCUGAGAGGAAGGUCCCCCACAUUGGAACUGAGACACGGUCCAA